Molecule: ribosomal RNA, 492 nt
Filed under: uncultured bacterium
Lineage: Bacteria
Description: partial 16S ribosomal RNA
Rfam family: Bacterial small subunit ribosomal RNA
Source: RNAcentral
AGUGAACGCUGGCGGUAGGCCUAACACAUGCAAGUCGAACGGCAGCACAGUAAGAGCUUGCUCUUACGGGUGGCGAGUGGCGGACGGGUGAGGAAUACAUCGGAAUCUACUUUUUCGUGGGGGAUAACGUAGGGAAACUUACGCUAAUACCGCAUACGACCUACGGGUGAAAGCAGGGGAUCUUCGGACCUUGCGCGAUUGAAUGAGCCGAUGUUGGAUUAGCUAGUUGGCGGGGUAAAGGCCCACCAAGGCGACGAUCCGUAGCUGGUCUGAGAGGAUGAUCAGCGGCACUGGAACUGAGACACGGUCCAGACUCCUACGGGAGGCAGCAGUGGGGAAUAUUGGACAAUGGGCGCAAGCCUGGUCCAGCCAUACCGCGUGGGUGAAGAAGGCCUUCGGGUUGUAAAGCCCUUUUGUUGGGAAAGAAAAGCAGCAGGUUAAUACCCCGCUGUUCUGACGGUACCCAAAGAAUAAGCACCGGCUAACUUCGUG